ACGGAUGAAGUGCUGUGGAAGAUUUUGCCAUACUGUACAUCCACAAGUCAUCUACUCCAAAUUACUCACUUCAUGAGAUGUACUGAGUUACUACGCAGGAGAGAAGCAUUGCCAUUUUAGGUUUCUAGUACCUGAAAACUGCAGUCCUGGAAGCUGGAAUCUUUUAAAUGGAAAGCAAGACAGAAAUGACAGUGGUACACAAUGAAAGAAUAACUUCUGGGACCAGGUAUUCAAGUCUCUUAGUUCUGGAUCAAGCAAGCAAAUUAAGGUAAAACCCAGAGGGACAAAUAUACUGCACAGAUCAGCUUGGAAAGCAUCCUUUUAUAGAAACAAAUGGGGAAGUAAAACAGUGCUUUAAAAGUGCAUUAAGUAUACUUUAUUCCUCAGCUCAGAGUUAAUUCAAGCAAUAAACUCACAGAUUUCACACAAGUUAAAGCUUCCUACAAAUCUCACAACUGAGUUCCCUACUGAACCUCAGGGGAAGCUUUUAUAAUGAUAACUCCCUUCCCCCCCUCCAAGAUGACCUGGAAAUGCUUAAAGAAUUGUGCUCCUAAGACUUUUUUUUAUUAUUGUUAUUACCUGUGUUUUUCUCUGAACCAGGUAUAUAAAAGAGAGGGGAUUUCCCCUUCCACCAAUUAAAACUCAAAUCUCACCUCUCCUUUCUUCCCCCACAACAAGAAGUUAACCCCUGCUGAGCUUUUUACCCCCAAGGCAUCUAUAAAGCCUCACAGGUGAGCUUGCUGCAGUAAAUAGAAUGAAUCAGCCCCAGAUCUUCUAACAGAUAAACACCAAUCUUUUAUUCUAGCCACCUGGCUUGGGACUUAUCAGACAAGAAAAUGGCUGUGGUUCGACACACCAAAAGCAGAAGAAUCUUUCCACAGCAGUGAUUUUGCAUGAAGAACUGGAACAAUGAAGUCAGAACAGUGCAAAGAGUAAAGGUGGUCCCUCCACCCCUUUUUGUCAAUGUUUGCCCUUGUGCAUGCCACUCUCCAAGACCUUCCUGCCUUAGGACUCUUAAACUGAGAAUCUUGUCUUUUGGUUCAGGACUUGGAUUAAGUUAGAACAAGACUGUGAGGAUGCAGAAGGAAAGAACUCCUUGCUGCGGAAUCUGUGCAUGCUGUACAUGCAAGUUUAUGACAGAAUACACUGCAGGCAUCAAAUUAAACCCCAGGUUCAUCAAAGAGUGGAAGACCCAUGGGGUGUGAGGCAGCUGGGAGUGCAGAGAAGAUGAGCACAGCUGAAAAGAGAGGAAUGUUAGGGGAUGCCUGGGGAUAUGUGGAAAGCUGAAAGGCAAGGCCUUGUGCUCUUAAUAACCAUUAUAAUAAAUUAGCAUAUGCUACAAAUAAUGCAUCAGAAAAAGGAAAAAAAGAAGCUGUCUUGUAUACCAGGACAUAAUUCUGCGACAUGUCUACUCUCUCUAGAUAAAGGUUUGAAUGGUUUUCCCAAGAAGAAGCUUUAUGCAAAUGCAUACUGUCAUGUGAAUCAGAUUAAGGGAAGAAAGACUAUUUAUGCAUGAAAUCCAAACAUGCUUCUGGGGAAAGGAGAAGAGAAAUAAACCCUUUCUAUCACCUCAAAUACAAUAUAUGUGCAAUGACUAAAAAGAAAUGAAUGUGUCACCUCUAUUACUGACACUAAGUGAUUUUCCACUAACAAUUAGCAUGAAUCAUAGUGAUAAAAAACUGAGAUGGAAAAGAUCUAUUAGAACACCCAGUCCACCUCCCUGUAAGUACAGGAAUCUCCCUGACAAUUUCUAUAUGAAGCAGUUCAUUGCUCAACAUUUUGUGUUUUCAUCAGUGCCACUCCACAUAGGCAUUUGCUAAGAUGACUUUACAACAACUAUCACAUACAUCUCUUCUGCACCUGAAAAAAGAAUCACAUCAAUUUUGAUCUUCCAGAACAACAUCCUUCUGGAGAGGCUUGUGGUCCUGGAACUUUAAAUACAAUGGGUUGUCUUUGUUUUCAUGAAGCACAGAAGAUGUACAAAAUGUUCCUGUAUUCAACAGCAGCAUAGAAAGUAAGCAAAGGAUGACACUUGGCUACGGUGAAAUAAAAAUAAUGUAGCUGAAGAAUUUUGGGUAACACCAAACUGGACUCUACUCAGUGGGAAACUGAGCAUGAGCAUAUGAAGGUGUUUGUGGUUGCCAGGUUUUGGGGAUUGUUCUAUGCCAUGUUUACCCAAAGGGUAGGCUAGAAUGGUUCCUCAGAUUGCUCCCAUUAGGGAAUAGCCUUCAAAAUCAUUUGUUCCUGCUCCCUUUUCUCCCUGCACCUGUCCCUUCUGCUGGUCUGUAUGGGAGUCAAUGACAUACGUCUGUCUGUGCUGCCUCUGCUCCUGUCAAACAUCUUUCAAGCAGAGGGCAUCUCUCAGUCAGCAGCAAAACAUUAGGGCCACAAUCUAGCUCUCUGUAACCAGUGGGCCAAGCUUCACUAUGAAUUUAGGAUCGAGUUUGGCACUGAUUUCAUUUUUAGUAGUGUAAUAGAGAUAUAACAUUAGAAACAGAAUUGUCUGAGAGUGCCUUUGAAAGUAGACAGUGUCUGAAGCAUGCCUGGAAGUUAACUCACAUGCAGCUUGGCUUGAAAGUCCAGGCAAUGGGUUCAUUUCACUGCAAACUUGGUGUUUCCAGACUAACUGGUUUUUUAAUCUGAAUCUGUUGGUGUAUACACCAGUGUGGUUUUGUAGGCAUAUUCCAUGCACUUGGAAACUGCCUGACCAGAUUGUUAGCUGACAUCAAUUAAUUUUCCCUGCUAAUUUCUAUAGACAAUAAUUUCUCAUCCUGAGCAUUUUGCAUGAAUCUGACAUGCUAGGCUGGUUGAUUUGCUGGUCAUCCUCAGGCAUGUCAUUAUGGUAUGAUUCAAUUCCUAUCAAAGUCGACUGGAAAACUGCCUGCUGACCCCAGGGGCCACUGAAUGUACCCUGUGGAAGUAACGGCUGCAAGCAAGUGUGGAGAUAGAGAAUCAAAUGAUUUUGUGGGAGGGUUUUGUCUUUAAAAGGGUGUGUUUCAGAUGUGUGGUGAUUCUGUGUUUGUGGCAUCCUCCCACAUCCCUGCAGAGGCAGCAGCUUCUGUGCAGGAGCUGUUUCUGUCCUGGGAAAGGAGGGAUGAAACAAACCCCUUGCAUGGGUAACAUCAACUACAAGUUUUGCUUUGAUGCCUGUGGCUGAACAGAAUUCAUGUGUAUGAAGCCUGGAACAAAUGCAGAGGCUGAUCAGAUGAUCCCAGGUAGAUAGAUUUUUAAAGGAUAUUGUUCCUCUGAAAUGCAUCAAUUUGUCCCAUGUGAGCUAAAAUAAUUUAGAUACAAUUGAUCUGCUCAUGGCUUUUCUGAUUGCUUGUAAUGAUUUUUCUGGAUUACAAUGACCUAUAAGUAUUACUUGUAACAGCAGCUCUUACAAAAUUUUCAGGCAGAAAUCCGAUUUACUUUUUUAUUUAAAAUGGAUAACGGGCAUUUAAAAAUACGAGUUCCCCAGUCCUGGCACAGACCCAAUCAUGAAUGUCCUGAUACAUAUUUCGGCACAGGUCAUUUUAAAAGCAAGAAGUUUGCUGAACAAAUAUAAGCUUCCCUCAGCUCAGCAUGUCUGUCCCCAUGGACCAAUGAACUUCCCUGUGACUCAAGAUAUUUUUAAUUCUGCUCUGGACUUUCUCCAGGAAAUCCGUAAUAAUUACUAAUUGUAUUUUUGUAAGCUAAAUGAAAGGAUGCAUUCUUUCUUGAAAUUCUCCCUUAGCUUUUGCAAUUAAUUAUGUUGCUCUUUUGUGUGAUUAAUCCUUGUCUUUGUAUUACAACUUCACUUAAUCAAAUAGUACUGU
Cyanistes caeruleus (blue tit) is the source of this 3797-nucleotide non-coding RNA. Lineage: Eukaryota; Metazoa; Chordata; Aves; Passeriformes; Paridae. The record is from RefSeq and is a predicted model, not a curated record.